CAGCAGAGCCUCACAGAGCUACACAAGAGGAAUCUGGAUGGGAUCCUGACCCUGGUCCUUCCAACUUCUACUCUGCCCCAUCCCUGCCCAUCUCCCAGUCCUUGCACUCUCCUGAGGUUGGCAGCUGGGAAGAAAAAGCCUGAUGAUAUAUAGACAAGAGGAUAACUUCCAAAAAACUAUGAUUCCAUUCACCAGUUCAACUCCAUAUGGCUGUACCUGCAAAGGUUGUCAGAUUGGAUGGGGUUGACAUCUCCUGAAGAUUGCCUGACUGUAUUCAAAGACAUUGAAUUAAUUGGUUAAAAUCACCCUGGCAAACAAUUACUCUGCUUCUUUAGAGAAAAACCCCAAAAACUUUCCUGUGGGGAAAAGUGAUAUUAUAGAGAGAAAAAGAAGGAAUGUUCCAGUUUUUCUUCAGUUCAUGACCUACUUGCAUGUUCUUAUGAUCCCUACUUUUAUCCUGUCUAAUACAGACUUCUGAAGUUUCACUGACCAUUAUUUUCUGAACUGCAAAUAGGGAUCUGUGGUCUCACAAGUACAAGUGUUCUUAGUGGAGCUACAUGAGUCAAUAUUUUAAAUUGGGACAGCUCUAGAAAAAUGUAGGACAUAUGGUGACCAUACUCAGAGUUCUCAAAGCCAGAUGCUGACUGGCUCCAAGAGCAGAAAACCAAAACAAUCUGAAAUCUCUACUAUUUGCCAAAACAAAUCUUGUGUCUUUCCCAAUGUUAUUCCUGUAGAUAUCUUUGUUUGAAUUGGCCUGUUCACCAGUUUCAUUUCUGCUACCAUCUCUGGGGAUGAGGGAAAGAAAACACCUUGUGUUCACUUUGUUAACAAGGAACUAUCUUUCAGGUGCUUUACUGGAGUGACAGAAAUUAGGAAAUCUUUUUUCAUUCUUUCCUUCUUUUCUCCAUUUGGGG
Molecule: long non-coding RNA, 914 nt
Filed under: Heterocephalus glaber (naked mole-rat)
Lineage: Eukaryota; Metazoa; Chordata; Mammalia; Rodentia; Bathyergidae
Description: lncRNA (ENSHGLG00000041865.1)
Source: RNAcentral